This 497-nucleotide ribosomal RNA is filed under the name uncultured bacterium. RNAcentral's name for it is "partial 16S ribosomal RNA". It matches the Rfam family "Bacterial small subunit ribosomal RNA", at positions 28 to 507 of the family's 1533-position model. The record is from RNAcentral.
GACGAACGCUGGCGGCGUGCCUAAUACAUGCAAGUUGAGCGAUGAAGAUUGGUGCUUGCACCAAUUUGAAGAGCAGCGAACGGGUGAGUAACGCGUGGGGAAUCUGCCUUUGAGCGGGGGACAACAUUUGGAAACGAAUGCUAAUACCGCAUAACAACUUUAAACAUAAGUUUUAAGUUUGAAAGAUGCAAUUGCAUCACUCAAAGAUGAUCCCGCGUUGUAUUAGCUAGUUGGUGAGGUAAAGGCUCACCAAGGCGAUGAUACAUAGCCGACCUGAGAGGGUGAUCGGCCACAUUGGGACUGAGACACGGCCCAAACUCCUACGGGAGGCAGCAGUAGGGAAUCUUCGGCAAUGGAAGAAAGGCUGACCGAGCAACGCCGCGUGAGUGAAGAAGGGUUUCGGAUCGUAAAACUCGGUUGGUAGAGAAGAACGUUGGUGAGAGUGGAAAGCUCAUCAAGUGACGGUAACUACCCAGAAAGGGACGGCUAACUACGUG